Molecule: ribosomal RNA, 449 nt
Filed under: uncultured bacterium
Lineage: Bacteria
Description: partial 16S ribosomal RNA
Rfam family: Bacterial small subunit ribosomal RNA
Source: RNAcentral
UGCCCAGACUCCUACGGGAGGCAGCAGUGGGGAAUAUUGCACAAUGGGGGAAACCCUGAUGCAGCGACGCCGCGUGAGCGAUGAAGUAUUCCGGUAUGUAAAGCUCUAUCAGCAGGGAAGAAAAUGACGGUACCUGACUAAGAAGCCCCGGCUAACUACGUGCCAGCAGCCGCGGUAAUACGUAGGGGGCAAGCGUUAUCCGGAUUUACUGGGUGUAAAGGGAGCGUAGACGGCGGUGCAAGCCAGAUGUGAAAGCCCGGGGCUCAACCCCGGGACUGCAUUUGGAACUGUGCUGCUAGAGUGUCGGAGAGGCAGGCGGAAUUCCUAGUGUAGCGGUGAAAUGCGUAGAUAUUAGGAGGAGCACCAGUGGCGAAGGCGGCUUACUGGACGGCAACUGACGCUGAGGCUCGAAAGCGUGGGGAGCAAACAGGAUUAGAUACCCUCGUACC